UGGGGAAUAUUGCACAAUGGGCGCAAGCCUGAUGCAGCCAUGCCGCGUGUGUGAAGAAGGCCUUCGGGUUGUAAAGCACUUUCAGCGGGGAGGAAGGCGGUGAGGUUAAUAACCUCAUCGAUUGACGUUACCCGCAGAAGAAGCACCGGCUAACUCCGUGCCAGCAGCCGCGGUAAUACGUAGGGUGCAAGCGUUAAUCGGAAUUACUGGGCGUAAAGCGCACGCAGGCGGUCUGUCAAGUCGGAUGUGAAAUCCCCGGGCUCAACCUGGGAACUGCAUUCGAAACUGGCAGGCUAGAGUCUUGUAGAGGGGGGUAGAAUUCCAGGUGUAGCGGUGAAAUGAGUAGAGAUCUGGAGGAAUACCGGUGGCGAAGGCGGCCCCCUGGACAAAGACUGACGCUCAGGUGCGAAAGAGUGGGGAGCAAACAGG
This 429-nucleotide ribosomal RNA is filed under the name Chloroflexota bacterium. Its description in RNAcentral is "Chloroflexi bacterium partial 16S ribosomal RNA". It matches the Rfam family "Bacterial small subunit ribosomal RNA", at positions 355 to 776 of the family's 1533-position model. The record is from RNAcentral. Lineage: Bacteria; Bacillati; Chloroflexota.